ACAUGUUUGGUUGACGAGUAGCACAAGACCAAACCAUAUCUUGUUUGGUAGGGCUCUUCCUCAAAGGCUCCUCCGGAGGAGUUAGAGAGCUAGAGCCAUUUUAGAGAAGCUAUAAUUCGGGCUCCUUCAAAAUAGCUCUGGCUCCUUAUUCUUUUUCAUAAAAAGCGGCUUCCAACACUUUUUUUUUACUAAACUGUUUGGUAAGACUCCUCUCACUAGUGCAGGACGGGGCUGUUGUCCUGGUUAGAAACCCGCUUUAGUCCCGGUUUCCCAACCGGGACAACGAUUUCGGAACUAAAGGCCCACCCUUUAGUCCCGGGUCAUAGAACCAGGACUAAAGGAUUUGCGCCCAAAGUGGCCCUGGGUCGCCAUGUCGCACACCUUCAGUCCCAGUUGGUGUUACAAACUGGAACUAGGUCUCUUUUUUUUUCUUUUUUGGUUUACUUUUCAUUUCAUUAUUCAUUUUGAGGCCAGCACGUUAGGUGUCUAGCUAGUGAAGUUCCACUUGUAAUCCAGACUGGCUGACGACCACCACCACUUUCCAAACGUAGCAGUUGGUCGUCGUGAUUUCUUCUUUUUUAACAAUUGGAAAAAGAUGUUAGCAGUUAAUCUUGGUCAGACUUCGAGAGCUUUGCAUUGUUGGUGGAGAAAAAGAAAAAUAUUCUCAUGCAUCAAAACUAGUCUAGUCUCCCAUUCGUGCACUGGCACUGUUUUUCCAAGCCAAAUAAUUAAUGGCGAGCAAGCAAACAGCAUCACCGAGUUUACAUCCUUGUGCUCGAAUCCACCGACUGUGUGAAAGUUACUACUAGCAGCGUUGUUUCGUAAGGGGAAGAACUGAUACCACGAAUAAGUACUUGCUCCAGAAGCAUGUAUAUACAAGGCUAUCCAUUGACUAAUAAUUUAGAGCAACUCCAACAACUUGGCUAUUUUAGAAUUUGUAUAAUAAAAGAUAGACUCCAACAGAUGUGCUAUCUAGUUUUGUAAAAUAGAAAGUUGAUUAUUCCUUAAUUUUCGCUGGCCAUAUAUAGCCAACCACUCUAUAUGAUUUUGUAAAAAUAACAAGACUGUUGUGGAUCUCUUUUUUAAAAAAGUUUUCUACUUUACAAAAUGGCUAAAUAAUAG
This 1122-nucleotide long non-coding RNA is filed under the name Sorghum bicolor (sorghum). Its description in RNAcentral is "long non-coding RNA (SBIC_LNC011598)". The record is from RNAcentral. Lineage: Eukaryota; Viridiplantae; Streptophyta; Magnoliopsida; Poales; Poaceae.